This is a long non-coding RNA of Coccinella septempunctata (seven-spotted ladybird), 1747 nucleotides long. RefSeq lists it as uncharacterized. NCBI's taxonomy places the organism in Eukaryota, Metazoa, Arthropoda, Insecta, Coleoptera, Coccinellidae. The record is from RefSeq and is a predicted model, not a curated record. The transcript has 2 exons.
UUUUUGCACUCUAACUUUUGGGAUAUCUAAUUGAAAUAUUUUAUGGGUUUUCCUCAAUUCGAUCUAGCAAAUCUGCAAGGGGAAUUCCACGAAUAUUUUUAAACUUCAGCAUUCAUCGGUUCGAGAUGAAACUGAGAAAAGUAAAUGAGAUUGCGUUCAUUAUUGACCAUACCAUAACAUGAUAUUGUGGAUGGAAAACCGGUAAAGAAGGUGAUUUAUUAUAAAGGUUUCAUGGUAAUAUUUAUAAUUCGGGAUAAAAUACUUUUUGAUGCCUAAAAUUCGGUCCCUUCGAAUGAUUACUACUGCGUUACUUUAGUGUCCCCAGUUUUUUUCUAUAGUAUUCACAGUAUUGUACUAGCUUCCGAUUAAUUAAUAAUGUUGUUACUUCAUACAUAUUUACUGAUGGGCAUAAGUUGAUGCUCCUAUCGCUAGUUUGUAUUACAUUUUGUUUUUUCGGCUUUAUCAGAAAAAUUUGAGUUUUUAAUCGAGACUUUUGUAACGCAGCGAUCUUAACUAUAAAUGAUCAAGAUUAAUAUUAGAAAUACACUUUGAAGCUGCCAUAUUAAUGAGAUAUAUUGUUCAUAUUCAAUAAUAAAAUAAAAAUUUCCUAUAAAGUAACUUUGUUGUUUAAUUUUUCGCCCAUUGUCAUAAUAUGGGUAAAAUAACUUUAAAUAUAGCUGCAAAUGUAUGGGUAGUAAAAUUUGAACAACUGCAAAUCUAUGUCAACAUGAAAAAUUCGGAAAAUAUUAAUCACAAUUUAAAAUUUUUUCUUAGAAUUUUCCGCUUAAAUUGGGCAUCGAAAAGUAUUCUGACCCAUUUAACACAUUAUUUAAAAAUUAAAUUAUGAAUUUAUGCCCAGAAAUGGCCGUAUCUAUACAAUGUUCAAACAGAAGAUCGAAUUGCAAGUAAUAACUGACUUUAUAUUGUGGCAUAGGCCUACCAUACCCAAAGUGCGGUCAGCCGUUCUAACUUCUAACUUCUCUAAAGGGCUGCUUAUGGUUGCAUCGAUUUUUGUCAAGUAACGUUAAAAUUAUUCAGAUAUUGUGGAUUUAAAACAUAUACCAAUAGAUCAGGUAGUUCCCAUUUGUUUGUAUUUAAACGUUGAAAUUAGAUAGAGAAUAUGUUAUGAAGAAUAAAACGUAAGCAGGUCAUUUAGAUUUCUAAUUGUUAUAGUUAUUGAUAAAAACGGAGGAAUUUCUUAUGUUAUAAAUGAAAUUGAUUAUAGAUUUCAAUGUGUUAGGAAUUGGAGUCGUGUUAUUAUUAGGAAACCAAGUUGUACUGUUUGUUGUGGUCAUUGUUGGCCAAUAUCGAGUCGUAUUCCUUGUCGUUGACCAUGGUGGUGUUGUAGGCCAAGUUUCAGUAUUACCCCUUGACGUUGACCAUGUCCAUGGUGGUGUUGUAGGCCAAGUUCCAGUAUUACCCCUUGACGUUGACCAUGUCCAUGGUGGUGUUGUAGGCCAAGUUCCAGUAUUACCCCUUGACGUUGACCAUGUCCAUGGUGGUGUUGUAGGCCAAGUUCCAGUAUUACCCCUUGACGUUGACCAUGUCCAUGGUUGUGUUGUAGGCCAAGUUCGCUCUGACGUUGAUGUAUAUUCAGGAGAAGUAGCCCAUGUGGUAGGGUAUGGAUAAUACUUGACUUUUCCAACAGGAACAUUCAUUUUCAAGUCCCUUGCGACAAUAGGAUCCUUCAGAUUGCCGACAAUUGAUUUAAUAUUUUUUGGGUUUUGGAUCAACGAUUUAUUCGAAA